AAUGAACGCUGGCGGCGUGCCUAACACAUGCAAGUCGGAUGUGCCCGCAAGGGUGCAUGGCAGACGGGUGAGUAACGCGUGGGAAUCUACCUUUAGUGGGGAAUAACGCUCCGAAAGGAGUGGUAAUACCGCAUGUGACCAUUGGCUGGGAUGUUGAUGGUGAAACCCUGGGACCUUCGGGCCAGGGGCUAAAGAGGAUCCUGCGUCUGAUUAGCUAGUUGGCGGGGUAACGGCCCACCAAGGCGACGAUCAGUAGCCGGCCUGAGAGGGUGAUCGGCCACACUGGAACUGAGACACGGUCCAGACCCCUACGGGAGGCAGCAGUGGGGAAUUUUGCGCAAUGGACGAAAGUCUGACGCAGCAACGCCGCGUGGGUGAUGAAGGUCUUCGGAUUGUAAAACCCUGUCGCCAGGGACGAAGGGUGAGGUGUGAAUAGCGCCUUACUUUGACGGUACCUGGAAAGGAAGCCCCGGCUAACUCUGUGCCAGCAGCCGCGGU
RNAcentral lists this ribosomal RNA (498 nucleotides) under uncultured bacterium. Its description in RNAcentral is "bacterial SSU rRNA". It matches the Rfam family "Bacterial small subunit ribosomal RNA", at positions 29 to 521 of the family's 1533-position model. The record is from RNAcentral.